This 456-nucleotide ribosomal RNA is filed under the name uncultured bacterium. RNAcentral's name for it is "bacterial SSU rRNA". It matches the Rfam family "Bacterial small subunit ribosomal RNA", at positions 340 to 786 of the family's 1533-position model. The record is from RNAcentral.
UACGGGAGGCAGCAGUGGGGAAUAUUGCACAAUGGGCGCAAGCCUGAUGCAGCCAUGCCGCGUGUAUGAAGAAGGGCCUUCGGGUUGUAAAGUACUUUCAGUCGUGAGGAAGGUGUUAAGGUUAAUAACCUUAGCAAUUGACGUUAGCGACAGAAGAAGCACCGGCUAACUCCGUGCCAGCAGCCGCGGUAAUACGGAGGGUGCGAGCGUUAAUCGGAAUUACUGGGCGUAAAGGGCACGCAGGCGGUUAAUUAAGUUGGAUGUGAAAUCCCCGGGCUUAACCUGGGAAUGGCAUUCAAGACUGGUUAGCUAGAGUCUUGUAGAGGGGGUAGAAUUCCAUGUGUAGCGGUGAAAUGCGUAGAGAUGUGGAGGAAUACCGGUGGCGAAGGCGGCCCCUGGGACAAAGGACUGACGCUCGAUGUGCGAAAGCGUGGGGAGCAAACAGGAUUAGAUACC